UCAUCAUCAUCAUCAAAUACAUACCUGGGGUGUUGCCUUAAUUUUUCAUGCAUGUUUGAGAAAUCCUUUGAUUUCCUGUGGCAACCAUUCAGCUGUGCAAAAUAGCUGGGUGGGCUUAGUUCCGCCUUCAAGGUAUAGCUCCUCCUCCAGCUGCGGAGCUUCCAUCUCACAGAGGAGCCUUCACCCACAACUGUGUGCUAGGGUGACCUAUGACUCCCCACAAGUGGUGGACAAUGUCUCCCACCCCAUGCAUGAAGCUGUUACUGAACUCCAGGAUGCUGCAUCCUCAGUGCACUAAGCAGCCUUAUCAGAUAUCCUUCCUCCCAGCAACUGUUACAGCAGCUGUCACGGCUCCCAACAAGCUCAAUAAGUGUUUACAUACAAGCUGGUAUUUGCACUGUUCGAUUUUUUUACAUAUUUUUUUUUAUUUGCAAGUUUUUUUCAAACUUGCAAAUUUUCAACAUUUGGAGCACAGAAAUUCUCUUUUCGAGAAAAUUUCAGUGAUUAAUCUCAAAAUUCCUGAACCUUGUUUAGCUUCUUUAUUUCUAUACCUACAAUACGCCGUGGUAAUUUUCCACCCUCUUCCGGAUGUACUUAAAUUUCUGUGACAUUCAGUCCAAGUACCUGCUUAGCUUUGUGUGUGUGUGUGUGUGUGUGUGUGUGUGUGUGUAUGUGUGUUUUCUUUGCUGCCGUUUGAGAGGAAGAAAACAAAAACCUACCAAACAGGUUUCUACCUUUCAACGUGCGAAACAGCCAACUGUUGGGGAAACAGGUGAAAAAGGGGAAACGGCAACGAGAAACUCACUUUUUAGCUGGAGGACAAAACUACAGCGAUUUCUUCCUAACAAGAAGGGGCGGCGAGCUGGCUACUGAUCAACACCUGGAGUUUUCCACUGUCCUCUAUCAAAGGCAUCCAUCUUCAUUAACAGGCAGCAGAUGCGCAGGGUUGUGGAAGGCUCUGGGAACGAAACAGAGCAACAGCAAGAAUCCGAUUUCAGAGAUUAAAACCAGAAACGUGCCGGAGACGAGCAGAUAGUGUUAAAGGUGGAAGAUGUU
Molecule: long non-coding RNA, 1056 nt
Organism: Poecilia latipinna (sailfin molly)
Lineage: Eukaryota; Metazoa; Chordata; Actinopteri; Cyprinodontiformes; Poeciliidae
Exons: 2
Source: RefSeq, a predicted model, not a curated record